This 465-nucleotide ribosomal RNA is filed under the name uncultured bacterium. Its description in RNAcentral is "partial 16S ribosomal RNA". It matches the Rfam family "Bacterial small subunit ribosomal RNA", at positions 339 to 795 of the family's 1533-position model. The record is from RNAcentral.
CUACGGGCGGCACCAGUGGGGAAUCUUGGGCAAUGGGCGAAAGCCUGACCCAGCGACGCCGUGUGGAGGACGAAGGCCUUCGGGUCGUAAACUCCUGUCGGGAGGGAAAAAACUCUUUCCGGUGAACAAUCGGAGAGAUUGAUGGUACCUCCAGAGGAAGCCCCGGCUAACUACGUGCCAGCAGCCGCGGUAAUACGUAGGGGGCGAGCGUUGUCCGGAAUUACUGGGCGUAAAGCGCAAGUAGGUGGGGAGGUAAGUUCUGUGUGAAAGACCCCGGCUUAACCGGGGGGCCGCAUGGGAUACUGCCUUUCUUGAGGGAGGGAGAGGAGAGCGGAACUGCCGGUGUAGCGGUGAAAUGCGUAGAUAUCGGUAGGAACACCCGUGGCGAAAGCGGCUCUCUGGCCCUUUUCUGACGCUCAAUUGCGAAAGCGUGGGGAUCAAACGGGAUUAGAUACCCGUGUAGUC